GUGCAGGAUGACGGUCCUAUGGAUUGUAAACUGCUUUUGUACAGGAAGAAACAGUUCUACGUGUAGAACCUUGACGGUACUGUAAGAAUAAGGAUCGGCUAACUCCGUGCCAGCAGCCGCGGUAAUACGGAGGAUCCAAGCGUUAUCCGGAAUCAUUGGGUUUAAAGGGUUCGUAGGCGGUUUAAUAAGUCAGUGGUGAAAGCCCAUCGCUCAACGGUGGAACGGCCAUUGAUACUGUUAAACUUGAAUUAUUAGGAAGUAACUAGAAUAUGUAGUGUAGCGGUGAAAUGCUUAGAGAUUACAUGGAAUACCAAUUGCGAAGGCAGGUUACUACUAAUUGA
This 341-nucleotide ribosomal RNA is filed under the name Flavobacterium sp. JRM. RNAcentral describes it as "bacterial SSU rRNA". It matches the Rfam family "Bacterial small subunit ribosomal RNA", at positions 401 to 739 of the family's 1533-position model. Lineage: Bacteria; Pseudomonadati; Bacteroidota; Flavobacteriia; Flavobacteriales; Flavobacteriaceae. The record is from RNAcentral.